This 253-nucleotide ribosomal RNA is filed under the name uncultured bacterium. RNAcentral describes it as "partial 16S ribosomal RNA". It matches the Rfam family "Bacterial small subunit ribosomal RNA", at positions 524 to 776 of the family's 1533-position model. The record is from RNAcentral.
UACGGAGGGAGCUAGCGUUAUUCGGAAUUACUGGGCGUAAAGCGCACGUAGGCGGCUUUGUAAGUUAGAGGUGAAAGCCUGGAGCUCAACUCCAGAAUUGCCUUUAAGACUGCAUCGCUUGAAUCCAGGAGAGGUGAGUGGAAUUCCGAGUGUAGAGGUGAAAUUCGUAGAUAUUCGGAAGAACACCAGUGGCGAAGGCGGCUCACUGGCCCGGUACUGACGCUGAGGUGCGAAAGCGUGGGGAGCAAACAGG